Long non-coding RNA from Larimichthys crocea (large yellow croaker), 279 nucleotides. RefSeq lists it as uncharacterized. The record is from RefSeq and is a predicted model, not a curated record. The transcript is spliced from 3 exons. NCBI's taxonomy places the organism in Eukaryota, Metazoa, Chordata, Actinopteri, Sciaenidae.
CGAACGCCACCGCAAGAUGGUGAAGUCAGUGGUGGAGUAUGGAGGGAAGCGAGUCAGAGGAAGUGACCUCAUCACGCCGACAGACGCCGUAGCCAUCACCAAACAGUUCUUCAAAGGCCUCUCUGGUGUGGAGAACGUGUACACUCAGCACCAGCCUCUCCUCCAUGACACUCUGGAUCAGCUGAUCAAAGGUCGACUGAAGGACAGUCAGUUCCCGUACCUGGGAGCGAGCAGCCUCAGAGACAGGUAACACCUGACACAGCUAACGGGAGCUAACAU